Oryctolagus cuniculus (rabbit) is the source of this 2416-nucleotide non-coding RNA. The record is from RefSeq and is a predicted model, not a curated record. NCBI's taxonomy places the organism in Eukaryota, Metazoa, Chordata, Mammalia, Lagomorpha, Leporidae.
AUUUGAUAGACAUCUGGGUUGAUUCCAUAUCUUAGCUGUUGUGAAUUGAGCAGCCAUAAACAUGUGGGUACAGAUAACUCUUUCAUCUGCUGAUUUCAAUUUGUUUAGGUAAAUUCCCAUGAGUGGCAUUUCUGGUUCAUAUGAUUCAUCUAUUUUCAGCCUUUUGAGGUGUCUCCAUACUGUCUUCCACAAUGGCUUCACCAGAUUACAUUCCCAAUGGAUUAGGAAUAGGUUACCUACCUAGAGCACACUUGAGAUCAACACAGGCCCGCUAUUCUAGCCUGGAGACAAGACAGCUGUCACCCACGUUUUUACGCUGCCUGGACGCUUCUGGUGCUGCUGUGCUUGCUGGGAGGGAGAGGAGGGUCCUAGAUGGCUGGCGCUUGCGCAGUCGGCCUGGUGGAGAGCAAGAAGAUGUAUCCGGCGGUGGCGGCGUGUUGUCGGCUGCAGGAGUUUUCGGCUGAUGGCGGCGUUUUCAGCAGAGGUACAGGCCCGGAGAGUGCAGGAGUGAAGACAUCUUCAUGGAUAUGAAACUGGACGCAGAGUUGACGCUGAAGUUCAGCUGCUGAGUCAUCUUCCAUUUCUAGAGACUGCUCGAUUUCCUGCUAAACACACUUGGGGCUUCUUCCUGGAGAGGAGCAACUGGUUCAGAGCAGCGGGGGUGGGCAGCGUCUCAGCCAUGAGGAAGCCGAGAAGCGGAUGUCUGCCUCCCCUCCUCCCUCCCAGAGGACCUGGAUGUGAAACUAACCCAGAGUGGACGCUGAAGCUCAGCUGCCAAGUAAUCUCCCAUUCCCGGAGAGACUGCACAGCUUCCUGCUCAAUGCCAGGUGGGGCUUCAUCCUGGAGAGGAGCAACAGGUUUUUUUCUUUUUUUUGUACCGGAAAACAUUUCUUACCUGGAGCACACCGGAGAUCAACACAGCCCCGCUAUCCUAGCCCGGAGCCAAGACAGCUGUCACCCAUGUUUUUGACGCUGCCUGGCCGCUUCCGGUGCUGCUGUGCUUACUGGGAGGAAGAGGCGGGUCCUAGAUGCUGGCUCUUGCGCAAUCAGCCUGGUGGAGAGCAAGACGAGAUUAUCUGGUGGUGGCGGCAUGUCGUCGGCUGCUGGAAUUGUUUGCUGAUGGCGGCGUUUUUGGCAGCGGUACUGGCCCGGAGAGUGUGGGAGUGAAGACAUUUUCAUGGAUAUGAAAUUGGACACCGAGUUGACAUGGAAGUUCAGCUGCUGGGUAAUCUUCCAUUUCUGGGGACUGCUUUGCUUCCUGGUAAAACCCAGCUGUGCCUUCACCCUGGACAGGAGCAACUGACAUUUUCAUGGAUAUGAAACUGGACACUGAGUUGGCACUGAAUUUCAGCUGCUGGGUAAUCUUCCAUUUCUGGAACCUCCUUGGCUUCCUGGUAAAACCCAGCUGUGCCUUCACCCUGGACAGGAGCAACUGGGCACGGAUGUGAAACUCACCCAGAGCGGACGGUGAAGCGCAACUGCCGGGUGUUCUUCCAGUUCUGGAGACUGCACAGCUUCCUGCUCAAUGCCAGCUGGACCUUCUUCCGGGAGAGAAUCAACUGGCCAGAGCAGAGAGUUGGAUCAGAAGUGGAGCAGCUGGUACUCAAACCCGUGCCAUUGUGGGAUGCCAGGCCUGAAGGUGGCCUUACCCACUAUGCCACAGCACCAUUUGAAGAAUGGAUUGAUGGAGCAGCUUGUUUAUACCUUUGCAAUUCUGCCAUAUGACGGUGCACGGACAUUAGCCACCGAAGCUUCACCAGACACGGAGUCCCCUAACACUGUGACCUUGGACUUACCAGCCUCCGAAAGAGUGAGUAAUAAAUCCCUGUUGUUUAUAAACUUCCCAGUGUAAUGUGUUUUCUUACAGCAUCCAAAAUGGACUAAGAUGGAGUAAUAAUCUGAAAAGUUUAGAAAUGGGUGGGCAUUGAGGCACAGCAGGUUAAACUGGCAUUUGGGUUGUCAGCAUCCUACAUCAACCUGCCUGUUGUGAGUCCCAGCUCCUCCAUUUCCAAUUCAGUUUCCUGGUAAUUCCUCGGGAGGCAACAAACAAUGGCCCAAGUGCAUAGUUCCUGCCACCGACAUUGGAGACUGAGAUGUAGUUCCUGGCUCCUGGCUUCUGCCUGGCCCAGUCCUGGCUUUUGGGGGCAUUUGUGGAGUAAGUCAGUCAUGAGGUAGAGGCUCUCUCUUUGUGGCUCUGUCACUCUGCCUGGCAAAUGAACACAUAAACCUUAUGAAAAACAUCGUUGAUGACAUGACUUUGGUAAAUGCUUCAUCAAGUAAGAAGUUUAAAAAGUAAAACAUGGGGCUGGCACUGUGGUAUCACGUACAAGCUGUGGUUUGAAUCCUGGCUGUUCUACCUCUGAUCCAUCUCCCUGCUAAUGCACGUGGGAUAGUAGCAGAGGAUAGCUCAAGUGCU